AUUGAAGAGUUUGAUCAUGGCUCAGAUUGAACGCUGGCGGCAGGCCUAACACAUGCAAGUCGAACGGUAACAGGAAGCAGCUUGCUGCUUUGCUGACGAGUGGCGGACGGGUGAGUAAUGUCUGGGAAACUGCCUGAUGGAGGGGGAUAACUACUGGAAACGGUAGCUAAUACCGCAUAACGUCGCAAGACCAAAGAGGGGGACCUUAGGGCCUCUUGCCAUCGGAUGUGCCCAGAUGGGAUUAGCUAGUAGGUGGGGUAACGGCUCACCUAGGCGACGAUCCCUAGCUGGUCUGAGAGGAUGACCAGCCACACUGGAACUGAGACACGGUCCAGACUCCUACGGGAGGCAGCAGUGGGGAAUAUUGCACAAUGGGCGCAAGCCUGAUGCAGCCAUGCCGCGUGUAUGAAGAAGGCCUUCGGGUUGUAAAGUACUUUCAGCGGGGAGGAAGGGAGUAAAGUUAAUACCUUUGCUCAUUGACGUUACCCGCAGAAGAAGCACCGGCUAACUCCGUGCCAGCAGCCGCGGUAAUACGGAGGGUGCAAGCGUUAAUCGGAAUUACUGGGCGUAAAGCGCACGCAGGCGGUUUGUUAAGUCAGAUGUGAAAUCCCCGGGCUCAACCUGGGAACUGCAUCUGAUACUGGCAAGCUUGAGUCUCGUAGAGGGGGGUAGAAUUCCAGGUGUAGCGGUGAAAUGCGUAGAGAUCUGGAGGAAUACCGGUGGCGAAGGCGGCCCCCUGGACGAAGACUGACGCUCAGGUGCGAAAGCGUGGGGAGCAAACAGGAUUAGAUACCCUGGUAGUCCACGCCGUAAACGAUGUCGACUUGGAGGUUGUGCCCUUGAGGCGUGGCUUCCGGAGCUAACGCGUUAAGUCGACCGCCUGGGGAGUACGGCCGCAAGGUUAAAACUCAAAUGAAUUGACGGGGGCCCGCACAAGCGGUGGAGCAUGUGGUUUAAUUCGAUGCAACGCGAAGAACCUUACCUGGUCUUGACAUCCACGGAAGUUUUCAGAGAUGAGAAUGUGCCUUCGGGAACCGUGAGACAGGUGCUGCAUGGCUGUCGUCAGCUCGUGUUGUGAAAUGUUGGGUUAAGUCCCGCAACGAGCGCAACCCUUAUCCUUUGUUGCCAGCGGUCCGGCCGGGAACUCAAAGGAGACUGCCAGUGAUAAACUGGAGGAAGGUGGGGAUGACGUCAAGUCAUCAUGGCCCUUACGACCAGGGCUACACACGUGCUACAAUGGCGCAUACAAAGAGAAGCGACCUCGCGAGAGCAAGCGGACCUCAUAAAGUGCGUCGUAGUCCGGAUUGGAGUCUGCAACUCGACUCCAUGAAGUCGGAAUCGCUAGUAAUCGUGGAUCAGAAUGCCACGGUGAAUACGUUCCCGGGCCUUGUACACACCGCCCGUCACACCAUGGGAGUGGGUUGCAAAAGAAGUAGGUAGCUUAACCUUCGGGAGGGCGCUUACCACUUUGUGAUUCAUGACUGGGGUGAAGUCGUAACAAGGUAACCGUAGGGGAACCUGCGGUUGGAUCACCUCCU
Molecule: ribosomal RNA, 1538 nt
Filed under: Escherichia coli
Lineage: Bacteria; Pseudomonadati; Pseudomonadota; Gammaproteobacteria; Enterobacterales; Enterobacteriaceae
Description: bacterial SSU rRNA
Rfam family: Bacterial small subunit ribosomal RNA
Source: RNAcentral